GACCCCAUUUUUCCUUGCUACAUCAAUGUAGUUGGAAGAAAAUGAGAGAUUUGCUGCAUUGGAUCUUUCUACAAGUUGUUGCUGCAUAUGGUGAUGACCAUUGGAUGUGUUGAAAAGAAAAUCUGGCUGCCUGUUCAGAUCUAUUUGACUACCCUGCUCUACUUGCCUAAUGUUUGAUAGGUUUAAACCAGAUAAUGUAGCUGCAAUUUCACCAAGCUCAGUUACGCCAGAAGAAUGACCACUCUGGGUAGUAGAGCCAACAAUAUUCUUUUUCUCAAGAGGGACAACUCUGCUCGCCACAGGGGGAAGACCAGAACUAGGAGACC
This 326-nucleotide unclassified non-coding RNA is filed under the name Hevea brasiliensis (rubber tree). Lineage: Eukaryota; Viridiplantae; Streptophyta; Magnoliopsida; Malpighiales; Euphorbiaceae. The record is from RNAcentral.